Molecule: transfer RNA, 84 nt
Filed under: Bacteroidota bacterium
Lineage: Bacteria; Pseudomonadati; Bacteroidota
Description: Bacteroidetes bacterium (freshwater metagenome) tRNA-Leu
Rfam family: tRNA
About the family: Transfer RNA (tRNA) molecules are approximately 80 nucleotides in length. Their secondary structure includes four short double-helical elements and three loops (D, anti-codon, and T loops). Further hydrogen bonds mediate the characteristic L-shaped molecular structure. tRNAs have two regions of fundamental functional importance: the anti-codon, which is responsible for specific mRNA codon recognition, and the 3' end, to which the tRNAs corresponding amino acid is attached (by aminoacyl-tRNA synthetases). tRNAs cope with the degeneracy of the genetic code in two manners: having more than one tRNA (with a specific anti-codon) for a particular amino acid; and 'wobble' base-pairing, i.e. permitting non-standard base-pairing at the 3rd anti-codon position.
Source: RNAcentral
GCCCAGAUGGCGGAAUUGGUAGACGCGUCGGUCUCAAAAACCGAUGAUCGUGAGGUCGUGCCGGUUCGAUCCCGGCUCCGGGUA